GUGUAUCUGUCUCUCAGCGUCUCUAACAGCUCACACACACACACACACACACACACACCUAGAGACAAAGCUCGCUUGUAAGGACCGUCCUCAUUCCCCUCACCAAGAUGUGUGACCAGACGUUUUUAGCGAUCACGUUCGGCGCCUGCGACAACUGCAGCCAGAACAAACCUCUGAUGAACGUCUACCUGCAGAACGAGCCGGUGAACUACUGCUCGCUGUGCGUGGAGAAGAUGGCGUGUCAGGGUCUGGGGAAGGGGGAGAGCGUGGCCUCGCUGAAGGUCGAGGCGGAGAGUUUAAAGGUCAAACUGGAGCAGGAGCGAGCCAAACUGCACGAUGCAGAGCUGAAUCAGGUGGCGGAGAAGGUGGAAGCUCUGGGUGCGUUCACACUGAAGAGCCGCCGCACGCUGAAGGGUCACAGUAGUAAAGUGCUGUGUAUGGACUGGUGCAGUGAUAAGAGACGCAUCGUCAGCUCCUCACAGGACGGGAAGGUCAUCAUCUGGGACGCCUUCACAACUAACAAGGAGCAUGGCGUCACCAUGCCGUGUACCUGGGUGUUAGCGUGUGCGUACGCUCCCUCCGGCUGUGUGAUAGCGUGUGGUGGGUUGGAUAAUAAAUGCUCUGUCUAUCCUCUGUCUCUGGAUAAGAGUGAGAAUUUGGCAGCGAAGAGGAAACCGGUGGCUGUUCACACCAACUAUCUCUCAUCCUGCAGCUUCACCAACUCUGACAUGCAGAUCCUGACCUCUAGUGGUGAUGGUACGUGUGCAUUAUGGGAUGUAGAGAGCGGGCAGCUGCUGCAGAGUUUCCACGGUCACUCGGCUGAUGUGCUUUCACUGGACCUGGCUCCAUCUGAGACAGGAAACACCUUCGUCUCUGGAGGAUGUGAUAAGAAGGCUAAUGUGUGGGACAUGCGCUCCGGUCAGAACAUCCAGUCCUUCGACACUCACGAGUCGGACAUCAAUGCUGUCAAGUACUACCCAAGUGGUGAUGCUUUUGCCACUGCAUCUGACGAUGCUACAUGCCGUCUGUAUGACCUGAGGGCCGACCGUGAAGUGGCCGUCUACUCUAAAGAGAGCGUCAUCUUCGGUGCCUCCAGCGUGGACUUCUCCCUUAGUGGGCGUCUGCUGUUUGCUGGCUAUAACGACUACACUGUAAACAUAUGGGACGUGUUAAAGGGCACUCGGGUUGCGAUCCUGUACGGCCACGAGAACCGGGUCAGUAAAGUCCGAGUGUCACCUGACGGUACCACGUUCUGCUCGGCAUCAUGGGACGCCACGCUACGGGUGAGGAACCAGUCAUAGUUUCUCAGCACAUUCCUCUGAACCCAGGCAGGACUUUCCACAAGACUUGUUCCACAAUCUGGGCUUGAGUUGAGUCCUCAGUGAGAUUUGGAGCUGAUACAAAGAUGGAUUCACAACAGACCCUUUUAUUUUUAAAUCUUUUAUUUAGUUAUUAAUUUCUCUGACACACUCCUCGGUGUGUCUCGUAGCUGAUCACUAGAUCGUGCGUUAUUGUUGUAUUUGUUUGCGAAUAAUUUAACAUUAUCUAAAGUCCAGGCUAAGAGAGAAAUGUGUAUGAGUGACAUAAAAUAGUUAAUGUAUACAUUAUGUAGUAUUAAGACAUUUAUAAAUACUAAAAAUUAGCAUCACCUAGUCAGAAACACCUAAAUUAUGGUGUAUAAUCAUGAAAUGUGGAUUCAGUAAUAUUAAUAUUAAAGUGAUUCACUGGUUAAACAUUA
Pangasianodon hypophthalmus (striped catfish) is the source of this 1738-nucleotide RNA transcript. It is a transcript of the gene named guanine nucleotide binding protein (G protein), beta 5b, with no coding region annotated. The record is from RefSeq and is a predicted model, not a curated record. The transcript is spliced from 13 exons. Lineage: Eukaryota; Metazoa; Chordata; Actinopteri; Siluriformes; Pangasiidae.